RNAcentral lists this ribosomal RNA (277 nucleotides) under uncultured bacterium. RNAcentral's name for it is "partial 16S ribosomal RNA". It matches the Rfam family "Bacterial small subunit ribosomal RNA", at positions 28 to 307 of the family's 1533-position model. The record is from RNAcentral.
GACGAACGCUUGCGACGUGCCUAAGAAAUGCAAGUCGAACGGGGUCAUCCUUCGGGGUGGCCUAGUGGCGAACGGUCGCGUAACACGUGGGCAACCUGCCCUGAAGCGGGGGACAACAGCUCGAAAGAGUUGCUAAUACCGCAUGUGUAUCGGAAUGGCAUCAUUCAGGAUACAAAGCCUUCGGGCACUUCAGGAUGGGCCCGCGGCCUAUCAGCUAGUUGGUGAGGUAACGGCCCACCAAGGCUUCGACGGGUAGCUGGUCUGAGAGGACGAUCAG